This is a long non-coding RNA of Mustela putorius furo (domestic ferret), 2770 nucleotides long. The record is from Ensembl. Lineage: Eukaryota; Metazoa; Chordata; Mammalia; Carnivora; Mustelidae.
UGACAUAAUUAAUGGGGGAAAAGCACGUUAUAGAGCAAUAGGUGCGGAGAUUCUUUAAAGGCAAAUUCUUUGCCUAUGGAAAGGUAAAACCACAAAACUUCAAGUGAUAUUUUCAAAAUGUUAAGAUUUGGUUGGAUUUAUAUAGGCUAUUUCAUAAAGUUAAAAUUUAUUGGGUGAAAUGUAUUACUUUUGUCAUCAUGAAAAGUGUUGCUAUACUCAUCUUUUCAGAAACGCAUCUAUUUGGGUAAAGCAGGAACCUAAAUAAUUGUUCUGGAUCAUUAAAUAAGAUCCUAAUUCUUUCUUAAACAGUUGUAGUUUUAGUGAAUUGAUACAAUAAUUAAAGUGAUUAAUUAAAGAUUGAACUAAAAAUGAUACCACUUAGACACUAAUGAUAAACUUACUGUGAUAACAAAAAAAAAUGUCUAGUGUUGAGACUUUUAUUCUUCAAAUUUUGGUUGGUAUAUAUAUGUAUAUAUGUAUAUAGCAGACACAAGAUAGCUACUGCAGUAGUGGUAGGUGGACUGCAGACCAUUCUUAGAAAAAUACUGCAGAAGUUCUUCUUCAUUGCCAGCGGAAUCUCAUUUCUCACCUUGCAGGUGUCCUAGGCAAGCAGCCCAGUACUACCCACCAGCAGUUUGUAGGAACAAAGUAACGAUGCCAACUAAGGGAAGUGUGAAACUUGAAUUUUCUUUACCUGUAAGGAAGGAGUGGGCAGAGCGAAAGAGACUUAAAUGGCCUUGGAGUGGAGGUAUGAGCACUGAGCCAACUGUAAGAGAUAGUGGAAGAAAGGGUGGGUGAGACUUGGGAAGGGAAAAAAGAUACUUUUGUUUCUCAGAGCCAGGAUGGAAGGAGAGAAUGAUUAAUCAUUGGGGGUGGAGGUAGAGAAAUGUGGAACUGUUCGCAUCUUAGUUUUAUAACAUAAUGUUUUCAACUAUGAUUUGUAGACUCUACAGAAACAUUAUAUAUGUGGCUAAUGUUGAACGUUGAUAAAAGCCAAAGAUGUGUCAACAGUGUGUAACUCAAUUUGUAUGAUUUUGUGUUGGGGAAAGCUAAUGACAUCUAAAUGGACAAAUUUUCAGACUAGAAUUUCCAUUAGGCUAACUUCCAGUACAUUUGUGUCUAAAUUGGACUUCUGUAGAGCAGGUUAAUAAUCAUCUCAGAGUUGAAUUUUGUGGUAAAUAAGCUCCAAGGAAGACAAAAUAAGUAAAUGAAUAAGUCUGUACUUUACACAUCAGAAUCAAACUGCAGUGCUCCAGCUACAGAAAAUAAAGAGAAAGCUUAAAAUACUAACAAGAGAAGAAAAAACAUUAACUACAAGGGUAAGUAAUUAGAUUAGAUUGGCAACAAACUUCUCAGUAGCAACAGUAGAAGAAUGAAGAAAGAAGGGAAAUAUCUUUAAAGAAAACAUAGUUCUCCAUGCAAUUCGUGCCCUCACUGGGUGUGGUACAAAAAUAAUGAAUACGGUUAUACUGAAAAUAAAUAAAAAUAAAUAAAUAAACGAAAUGUAAAAAAAAAAAAUAAAGAAAACAUAGUUGUCAAUCUAGUAUACCCAACUAUGAUUUAAGGGCAAAGGUAAAAUGAAGACAUUGAAAAGUAAUAUUGAAAGAAUUUACCAGUUAAACAUUCUCAUGGAAAAAUUACUUAAGAACACACUUUAGGUGGGGUGCCUGGGUGGCUCAGUGGUAGGCAUCUGCCUUCAGCUCAGGUCAAGAUCUCAGGGUCCUAGGAUCGAGCCCUGAAUCAAGCUCCCUGCUUAGCAUGGAGCCUGCUUCUCUCUCUGCCUUUCUCCUGGCUUAUGCUCUGUCUCUCAAAUAAAUUGAAAUUUUUAAAAAAAUUAACAAUUAAACCUAUAAACUUUAAAAAAGUUUUAAAGAACACACUUUGGGAGUAAAGACUUGUGAAUGUACAGAAGGAAAAUAGGAGAAGCAAGAGGAAAUGUGAUCGAAAGAAAUUAGUAAACAUGGCAGUAUCUAACUAAUCACUAACUCUAUAAAACAAUGAAGACAGUACUGAUUAAAGACAAAGCAUAUGUGGAGUUAAAAUACUAACAACAAUAAUGUGUAGAACAGGAGGAAUGUGAGUAGAGUGAAAAGUUCUGCAGACCUUUUAUUACCCAGGAAGAAGAGAGAGAAAUUUUUUCAGAUUUUAAGUCAAAUCAUGCAUGUGGAAAUUAUAAAGGUAACCACUAAAGUUACAGAAAUAGAAUAUAUAAAAUUCAAAUAACUCAAAAUCUGAAAACAAUAAAGAUCAAACUUAAGCUGAGCAAGAGAAUAAAAAAGAGCUGUAGAGAAUUUUUCAUAUUGUGCCUGCUGGCUCUUUUCUGUAUUACUUUGAAGAUGUUUCACUAUCAGUUGUGAAUGUCUUUGAGUUUAUGGGCUUAGGAAAGAGGGAGACGAUGCAGUUUCCUCCAUACUUGUGACAUGCCAGCCAACAUAGCACUGAAUGUUAGUGUCACAGAGUGUCAUUUUGGUGGUGAAAUGAUCAGAUGCAUAGAAAUUCCAACAGAAUUAAGAGAAAUCUAUUAGAACUGAAAAGAGUUCAGGAAAGUUUUAGGUAUACAACCCCUUUAUAAAAAUCAAUAGUAUUUUCCUAUGUCAUUAUCAACUAGAAAAUAUAAUUGAAAUAUGAUGCUAUUUAUAAUAUCCCACAAAUGAAUAAAUAUCUAGAAACUAACUUAAAAAAGAAAGCCAAGGGGUACCUGGGUGGCUCAGUGGGUUACAGCUUGUGCCUUCAGCUCAGGUCAUCAUCCCGGGAUCCUGGGAUUGAGCCC